UUGAAACCAUUGUUUCUUUGGAUGCUUGGUUUACCUUUGGGUUUCACAACAGAAUAACCUAAUAAAUAAGGGUGAAUAGAAUUGUUACUAUAGCAAUCCCCAUGGUAACAUCCAGAUGCCAGGCAACUCGCCCUUCCAGACCUCUGGAGGCAUUCGCCUAGUGCGACCCAUGUUUCAGGCAGUCGCAAGAUGAGGUGACCGAAGCAGCCUGAACUGCCCCAACUGGUAUCCCCAAGGAUGCUCGAGUUUCUAGUGGGUGACUUGCACUGGAGACGGUAGCUAGUGUUGAUUUGAUCAAGAAGUUUGCCUAAUGGGUGAGGUCAUCCAGUGGCAGGAACUGAGAAGACAGAGCCGGCUCUCCCGCAGAAUGAAGUGUGAGGAGGGGCUUCUGCAAAGGUCUUCCAGAGAAUCUAACACAUCCAGAAAGACUUGGGAGGAGCCAGCCACCCCUGGAUGCCCACCACAUAGAGAUGUCACCGUCGAGCUAGAGAAAUAGUUGUGUGCUAAGAAAGAAUAUUGCCACUGCCUCCAUAUAAUGAAGUAAGGCUUGAUGUGGCUUCAGUAUCACUCGUGUGACAGCGGCAGAACUGAGCCUUGAACCCCAGUCUGUGAGCUCGCAAACCCCAAAGACUUAUAGUCACUGAGAGGUGCUAAGCUGCGGAGGCCGGCCUUUGCUGUUUAAUGUCUCGAGUAUCUAGAGCAAGGGUUCUCCGUGAUUCGUUGCUGCUCAGAACAGCCAAACAGACAUGUGUGGGUCAUUCUGAACAUACUUGGAAAUUUCUCGAAUCUCAAGAAAGAUCUGUUUUCCGCGCUGCGUUGGCAACACAGUUGGAAAGUUACUUGAAUGUUUUUCAAAAAUUGUUUAUAGAUUUGAAAACUGUUUGGGGUUUGUGAUUGCUUCUGUUGUUUGCCUCUUUGUAUCAUCUCGUUUUUCAAAAUUUAAUAAACACUUUGCAGAGGAGCAAAAUAAUUGGUCA
This is a non-coding RNA of Odocoileus virginianus texanus, 977 nucleotides long. The record is from RefSeq and is a predicted model, not a curated record. Lineage: Eukaryota; Metazoa; Chordata; Mammalia; Artiodactyla; Cervidae.